RNAcentral lists this ribosomal RNA (560 nucleotides) under uncultured bacterium. RNAcentral's name for it is "bacterial SSU rRNA". It matches the Rfam family "Bacterial small subunit ribosomal RNA", at positions 338 to 916 of the family's 1533-position model. The record is from RNAcentral. RNAcentral also lists the same sequence under 3 other names.
CCUACGGGAGGCAGCAGUAGGGAAUCUUAGACAAUGGGGGCAACCCUGAUCUAGCCAUGCCGCGUGUGUGAUGAAGGCCCUAGGGUCGUAAAGCACUUUCGCCAGAGAUGAUAAUGACAGUAUCUGGUAAAGAAACCCCGGCUAACUCCGUGCCAGCAGCCGCGGUAAUACGGAGGGGGUUAGCGUUGUUCGGAAUUACUGGGCGUAAAGCGCACGUAGGCGGAUUAGUAAGUUAGAGGUGAAAUCCCAGGGCUCAACCCUGGAACUGCCUUUAAUACUGCUAGUCUUGAGUUCGAGAGAGGUAAGUGGAAUUCCGAGUGUAGAGGUGAAAUUCGUAGAUAUUCGGAGGAACACCAGUGGCGAAGGCGGCUUACUGGCUCGAUACUGACGCUGAGGUGCGAAAGUGUGGGGAGCAAACAGGAUUAGAUACCCUGGUAGUCCACACCGUAAACGAUGAAUGCCAGACGUCAGCAAGUAUACUUGUUGGUGUCACACCUAACGGAUUAAGCAUUCCGCCUGGGGAGUACGGUCGCAAGAUUAAAACUCAAAGGAAUUGACGG